UACAGAGGGUGCAAGCGUUAAUCGGAAUUACUGGGCGUAAAGCGUGCGCAGGCGGUUCGCUAAGACCGAUGUGAAAUCCCCGGGCUUAACCUGGGAACUGCAUUGGUGACUGGCGAGCUAGAGUGUGGCAGAGGGGGGUAGAAUUCCACGUGUAGCAGUGAAAUGCGUAGAGAUGUGGAGGAAUACCGAUGGCGAAGGCAGCCCCCUGGGCUAACACUGACGCUCAUGCACGAAAGCGUGGGGAGCAAACAGG
Molecule: ribosomal RNA, 253 nt
Filed under: uncultured bacterium
Lineage: Bacteria
Description: partial 16S ribosomal RNA
Rfam family: Bacterial small subunit ribosomal RNA
Source: RNAcentral